RNAcentral lists this ribosomal RNA (435 nucleotides) under uncultured bacterium. RNAcentral's name for it is "partial 16S ribosomal RNA". It matches the Rfam family "Bacterial small subunit ribosomal RNA", at positions 29 to 507 of the family's 1533-position model. The record is from RNAcentral.
AACGAACGCUGGCGGCAUGCCUAACACAUGCAAGUCGAACGAUUGCCUUCGGGUGAUAGUGGCGCACGGGUGCGUAACGCGUGGGAAUCUGCCCUUAGGUUCGGAAUAACAGCUGGAAGCGGCUGCUAAUACCGGAUGAUAUCGCGAGAUCAAAGAUUUAUCGCCUGAGGAUGAGCCCGCGUUGGAUUAGGUAGUUGGUGGGGUAAAGGCCUACCAAGCCGACGAUCCAUAGCUGGUCUGAGAGGAUGAUCAGCCACACUGGGACUGAGACACGGCCCAGACUCCUACGGGAGGCAGCAGUGGGGAAUAUUGGACAAUGGGCGCAAGCCUGAUCCAGCAAUGCCGCGUGAGUGAUGAAGGCCCUAGGGUUGUAAAGCUCUUUUACCCGGGAAGAUAAUGACUGUACCGGGAGAAUAAGCCCCGGCUAACUCCGUG